Molecule: non-coding RNA, 241 nt
Organism: Paramuricea clavata
Lineage: Eukaryota; Metazoa; Cnidaria; Anthozoa; Malacalcyonacea; Plexauridae
Source: the annotation of a GenBank genome assembly
GGGGGAUAGGAAAGGCAAAUGUAGCGAGUUCAAAACAAUACAAGGAGUGCGAAUAAAGCAACACAAAGGACUACACCAUGAAAUUUUUAUUGGCAUGUAUUUUUCAUAAAAUAUGUCAUAACGGUUAUUGUAAGGGACGAAGUUGUUAAUAAGGCCUGGCUGGUCGUUAAUAAACUAAUAGACGAUAGAUUUUCGAAGCUCACUCAACGACACGUACACUGGUACACUCUCAGUCUCUCAG